Molecule: long non-coding RNA, 816 nt
Organism: Nelumbo nucifera (sacred lotus)
Lineage: Eukaryota; Viridiplantae; Streptophyta; Magnoliopsida; Proteales; Nelumbonaceae
Source: RefSeq, a predicted model, not a curated record
AGUUCAAAUGGUUUUUUGUAAGCGUCAAGCAUAGAAGCUUUCAAAGAGUCGAAGCUCGAAAGUUAGGGUUCAGCGCCUCUGCGCCUCCAUCGCUCCAUCCUCAGUCUCACCGACGGACGGCGGUAUUUCGUUUGAAGUUUUGGACGAACUCUGGCCGUAUUUCCCUUUCUCCGGCGAUCUUCCUUUUGCCCUCUCACUUUCUCCAACAACAGAGCAUCUUCUUCUUUCAGCACCUCCUCACCUUCUCUAGUAACAGCAGUACAACACUCUCUCUUCUCUCAAUGCCCUCUCACUUUCUCCAGCGGCAACAGCACUUCCUCUUCACUCAGGCAAUCAUAUUUUGGUAAAAAGGAAGGGGCCAUGCUUGGAAGUUGAAACUCUUUCCAGUUUCCACCAUGAGUGUUGACUGUUGGCUGCUGUAGGCACUUGAUGGAGUGUAUGCUAUGUUAGUUAAUCUUUGAGAGACAACUCAAAUUAAUUAUAUAUAUUGUGGUCCAAAACUCUUGCUUUUUUGGCAUACUUAUUACAGGCAGAUUAUGAGGAAGGUCAAUGGCCUAGGCUCAAGUUGCCAAGAGAGUGCAGACUGAUCUUAAUUUUUGGCAUACUUAUUAUUUAUUACUUUGAGAGACUCUCAUGCUAUGAUUUAUUUAUUGUUUAAGUAGAAAACUAGAAAUUAUUGUAUGUACUAUGACUUUAUAUUUGCUUUAUCUUAAUUAAUGGGAAACAAAUCAAUACCAUUUAGAUUGGAUUGGACUAGUCCAAUUUGGUCCAGGUUGGAAAGUCCAAUAGUACAGUGGAUUGGAUAUUUGGAUUGAA